GUUAUUUUGGCAGAUUAGUGCAAAAGAUUUAGAAUCUUUAUAUGUAAAUAUUUACAAAUAAUA
RNAcentral lists this transfer RNA (63 nucleotides) under Curculionidae sp. 4 AH-2016. Its description in RNAcentral is "tRNA-Leu". Lineage: Eukaryota; Metazoa; Arthropoda; Insecta; Coleoptera; Curculionidae. The record is from RNAcentral.